CGGGCCAGCAUCGGUUCGGGCGGCCGGAUAAAGGUCCCGGGAAUGUACCUACCUCUCGGGGGAGACUUAUAGCCCGGGGCGCCAUGCGGCCGGCCGGGCCCGAGGACCGCGCUUCGGCUAGGAUGCUGGCGUAAUGGUUGUAAGCGACCCGUCUUGAAACACGGACCAAGGAGUCUAACAUCUAUGCGAGUGUUUGGGUGUCAAACCCAUGCGCGGAAUGAAAGUGAACGGAGGUGGGAACCCUGCACCAUCGACCGAUCCUUCUUCGGAUGGAUUUGAGUAAGAGCAUAGCUGUUGGGACCCGAAAGAUGGUGAACUAUGCCUGAAUAGGGUGAAGCCAGAGGAAACUCUGGUGGAGGCUCGCAGCGGUUCUGACGUGCAAAUCGAUCGUCAAAAUGGGUAUAGGGCGAAAGACUAUC
This 419-nucleotide ribosomal RNA is filed under the name Placolecis loekoesiana. RNAcentral describes it as "partial large subunit ribosomal RNA". It matches the Rfam family "Eukaryotic large subunit ribosomal RNA", at positions 492 to 936 of the family's 3401-position model. Lineage: Eukaryota; Fungi; Ascomycota; Lecanoromycetes; Lecanorales; Catillariaceae. The record is from RNAcentral.